AUUGAACGCUGGCGGCGUGCCUAACACAUGCAAGUCGAGCGGUAACAGGUGUAGCAAUACAUGCUGACGAGCGGCGGACGGGUGAGUAACGCUUGGGAAUCUACCUAGUAGUGGGGGAUAACCCGGGGAAACUCGGGCUAAUACCGCGUACGCCCUACGGGGGAAAGCGGGGGACUUUCGGGCCUCGCGCUAUUAGAUGAGCCUAAGUCCGAUUAGCUAGUUGGUAGGGUAAUGGCCUACCAAGGCGACGACCGGUAGCUGGUCUGAGAGGACGACCAGCCACACUGGGACUGAGACACGGCCCAGACUCCUACGGGAGGCAGCAGUGGGGAAUAUUGGACAAUGGGCGCAAGCCUGAUCCAGCGAUGCCGCGUGUGUGAAGAAGGCCUGCGGGUUGUAAAGCACUUUCAGUAGGGAAGAAAAGCCGAGUGCUAAUAUCACUCGGUCUUGACGUUACUUACAGAAGAAGCACCGGCUAACUCCGUGCCAGCCGCCGCAGUAA
RNAcentral lists this ribosomal RNA (502 nucleotides) under uncultured bacterium. Its description in RNAcentral is "bacterial SSU rRNA". It matches the Rfam family "Bacterial small subunit ribosomal RNA", at positions 30 to 523 of the family's 1533-position model. The record is from RNAcentral.